This 73-nucleotide transfer RNA is filed under the name Ixodes scapularis (black-legged tick). It matches the Rfam family "tRNA". From Rfam's summary of the family: Transfer RNA (tRNA) molecules are approximately 80 nucleotides in length. Their secondary structure includes four short double-helical elements and three loops (D, anti-codon, and T loops). Lineage: Eukaryota; Metazoa; Arthropoda; Arachnida; Ixodida; Ixodidae. The record is from Rfam by way of RNAcentral.
UCCUGGUUAGCUCGGUUAGUAGAGCGCUCUACUGGAAAUGGAGAGGUCCGUGGUUCGAUACCAGGACCAGAUG